UACAGAGGUGGCAAGCGUUGCUCGGAAUUACUGGGCGUAAAGGGCGCGUAGGCGGUCUUGUAAGUCUCGUGUGAAAUCCCUCGGCUUAACUGAGGAACUGCACGGGAUACUGCAUGACUUGAGGUCGGGAGAGGGAAGCGGAAUUCCGGGUGUAGCGGUGAAAUGCGCAGAUAUCAGGAGGAACACCGGUGGCGAAGGCGGGUCUCUGGGCCGAUACUGACGCUGAGGAGCGAGAGCGUGGGGAGCGAACAGG
This 253-nucleotide ribosomal RNA is filed under the name uncultured bacterium. RNAcentral describes it as "partial 16S ribosomal RNA". It matches the Rfam family "Bacterial small subunit ribosomal RNA", at positions 524 to 776 of the family's 1533-position model. The record is from RNAcentral.